This 55-nucleotide transfer RNA is filed under the name Tetranychus ludeni (bean spider mite). RNAcentral's name for it is "tRNA-His". The record is from RNAcentral. Lineage: Eukaryota; Metazoa; Arthropoda; Arachnida; Trombidiformes; Tetranychidae.
AUUGGAAUAGUUUAUUAAAAAUAUUAAAUUGUGAAUUUAAAGAAAAAUUUCAAUA